Molecule: long non-coding RNA, 280 nt
Filed under: Ananas comosus (pineapple)
Lineage: Eukaryota; Viridiplantae; Streptophyta; Magnoliopsida; Poales; Bromeliaceae
Description: long non-coding RNA (ACOM_LNC042011)
Source: RNAcentral
GCAGUUAAUUUAUGUUAUCCUUGUCUGCUCUCUUUUGGGCCUAGUGGUGCAGUUGGUGCAGGUCAGUAAUUGCCCACUGGGAACUAUAAAUUAUAGUUCUCAUGCCCCAUGUUUUAUGUUUUCUUUCAGAGCCUUCCGCUUCGGGAGGGGCUCGGGAUCGCGGGAAAGGUUUCGCCUUGAGCUAGCGAGCGAGGGAUUUGGCGAUAGGUGGUCCACCUCUCUUUUGUUUUUCUUUGGAGAGGUUGUGAGAGUUUUGUACCUUAUUAUAGAGACCACCCUA